UGUUUGAUGUUCUAACGUGGACCCGUGAUCCGGGUUGCGGACAGUGUCUGGUGGGUAGUUUGACUGGGGCGGUCUCCUCCUAAAGAGUAACGGAGGAGCACGAAGGUUGGCUAAUCCUGGUCGGACAUCAGGAGGUUAGUGCAAUGGCAUAAGCCAGCUUGACUGCGAGCGUGACGGCGCGAGCAGGUGCGAAAGCAGGUCAUAGUGAUCCGGUGGUUCUGAAUGGAAGGGCCAUCGCUCAACGGAUAAAAGGUACUCCGGGGAUAACAGGCUGAUACCGCCCAAGAGUUCAUAUCGACGGCGGUGUUUGGCACCUCGAUGUCGGCUCAUCACAUCCUGGGGCUGAAGUAGGUCCCAAGGGUAUGGCUGUUCGCCAUUUAAAGUGGUACGCGAGCUGGGUUUAGAACGUCGUGAGACAGUUCGGUCCCUAUCUGCCGUGGGCGCUGGAGAACUGAGGGGGGCUGCUCCUAGUACGAGAGGACCGGAGUGGACGCAUCACUGGUGUUCGGGUUGUCAUGCCAAUGGCACUGCCCGGUAGCUAAAUGCGGAAGAGAUAAGUGCUGAAAGC
RNAcentral lists this ribosomal RNA (568 nucleotides) under Salmonella enterica. Its description in RNAcentral is "partial 23S ribosomal RNA". It matches the Rfam family "Bacterial large subunit ribosomal RNA", at positions 2211 to 2778 of the family's 2925-position model. RNAcentral also lists the same sequence under 1 other name. The record is from RNAcentral. Lineage: Bacteria; Pseudomonadati; Pseudomonadota; Gammaproteobacteria; Enterobacterales; Enterobacteriaceae.